Molecule: ribosomal RNA, 468 nt
Filed under: uncultured bacterium
Lineage: Bacteria
Description: partial 16S ribosomal RNA
Rfam family: Bacterial small subunit ribosomal RNA
Source: RNAcentral
GACGAACGCUGGCGGCGUGCUUAACACAUGCAAGUCGAACGGAAAGGCCCUGCUUUUGUGGGGUGCUCGAGUGGCGAACGGGUGAGUAACACGUGAGUAACCUGCCCUUGACUUUGGGAUAACUUCAGGAAACUGGGGCUAAUACCGGAUAGGAGCUCCUGCAGCAUGGUGGGGGUUGGAAAGUUUCGGCGGUUGGGGAUUGGUUCGCGGGUUAUCAGCUUGUUGGGGGGGUAGUGGCUUACCAAGGCUUGGAAGGGUAGCCGGCCUGAGAGGGUGACCGGCCACACUGGGACUGAGGUAAGGCCCAGACUCGUACGGGAGGCAACAGUGGGGAAUAUUGACGAAUGGGCGGAACCCGGAUGCAGAAACGCCGCGGGCGGGAUAACGCCCUUCGGGUGGUAAACCACUUUCGCAAGUGACGAAGCGUGAGUGACGGUAAUGUGUAAAGAAGCACCGGCUAACUACGUG